RNAcentral lists this ribosomal RNA (280 nucleotides) under uncultured Acidovorax sp. RNAcentral's name for it is "partial 16S ribosomal RNA". It matches the Rfam family "Bacterial small subunit ribosomal RNA", at positions 1102 to 1382 of the family's 1533-position model. Lineage: Bacteria; Pseudomonadati; Pseudomonadota; Betaproteobacteria; Burkholderiales; Comamonadaceae. The record is from RNAcentral.
CCCCUAUUGUUAGUUGCCAUCAUUCAGUUGGGCACUCUAAUGAGACUGCCGGUGACAAACCGGAGGAAGGUGGGGAUGACGUCAAGUCCUCAUGGCCCUUAUAGGUGGGGCUACACACGUCAUACAAUGGAUGGUACAAAGGGUCGCCAACCCGCGAGGGGGAGCCAAUCCCAUAAAGACCAUUCGUAGUCCGGAUCGCAGUCUGCAACUCGACUGCGUGAAGUCGGAAUCGCUAGUAAUCGUGGAUCAGAAUGUCACGGUGAAUACGUUCCCGGGUCUU